GGAGGAGACAAGAUGAGAGAAAAAACUCUGUACAACACAAAUUCUUGUCCUCACUGUAACUGUCCCUCCAAGUUUCUCUUUUUAUCCAAAAUACCAAGGAGAUAGGGGAAUUAAAUAGUGGAUAUCACGUUUAUUGUCAAACAUGCCAUGCCCAGACAGUGUUCUUGGAAUAUAAACUGGAAAUGGUCUCCUGAGAAGAAACAGUUUUCAGGUAACUGGUUGAUGGAAUAGGAUGCGGGACAGGUCCUUUGGGUAACUUGAUGACUAAGGAGAUUUGGACAGUAGCAUUGGUGGCUAAAUUGUAUGUGAAUCUGGCCAUGUAAAUGGACUAUUUAUGCAUUGAGGUGGCCAGAAGGUAACUGGUUGAUUGGAACAGAAUACUGGACAGAGGUCUUUUGGGGAAAUAGAUUAAUAAGUGAGUGGUGAUGAGCCAGGAAGAUUUGACAGUAGCAUUGGUCUAGUAAAUGGCUUAAUUUAUAUUGUCAAGUGGCUAGAAGCACGAAUCUCCGGGCUUAUAAAUCUACAUCCAGGUGUGUAGGAGAUUCCCAGGACCAAGCAUGCUUCCGUCGAUCGUCUCCGGCGUUGGAGGGGUUGGUGAACUGUGUGGUGUCAAAUUUUAUUACUGUUUUGGACUCAGAUACAAAAUUAGGUGGUUAUACGGUGCUAAGAACUCGAGGUUACUUCUAGCAAGUCAUUAAGGCCUGAUCUCAAUCUAUUAAGCUAAAUGGGCAGGUAGACUUUGAAGAACAAACGAGGAGAAG
Molecule: RNA transcript, 761 nt
Organism: Fragaria vesca subsp. vesca
Lineage: Eukaryota; Viridiplantae; Streptophyta; Magnoliopsida; Rosales; Rosaceae
Exons: 7
Source: RefSeq, a predicted model, not a curated record